This is an RNA transcript of Lynx canadensis (Canada lynx), 2349 nucleotides long. RefSeq lists it as uncharacterized. The record is from RefSeq and is a predicted model, not a curated record. The transcript is spliced from 3 exons. Lineage: Eukaryota; Metazoa; Chordata; Mammalia; Carnivora; Felidae.
GGCUGUACCACUUCCAAUGUCUGAAUAUAGCAGGACCUCUUCUGGCCUCCAGGACACUUUCACAAUUUGCAUUUUUAUCACGGCAGCAUUGAGACGGAAAAUUCCUGAAUGAACCUUUGGUGAAUGAAUGUUCACAGACUGGAUACUUGGCAGGCCUUCCCCAGUGUGUGUGGGCACAGGAUUCCUGGAGUCUGGCAGAUGCUCUCCAGGCAAGGGUCUUGCUGUGGCCCUAGGGCUGGGCACCACGGGCUGGGACCACCAGUCAAGACAGGGGAGGGGACCUCCGCCAGCAGCCGCUGCGAGGUCCCCUAGGUGGGUCCUCAGGGGAGGGGAGCUAGGGGUUCAAGCUUGACCUCCAUAAACUCCCUGCCCUCGGCUUGGGGAUGUGGCUGACUGGGUCCCCUGUUCCGAGGGCUCACCAUCCCGGAGUCUAGGGACACAUGUCCGCCAGGCCUGGCUGCUCCCCUGCUCCGGAGGAAGCGGAACCGCCCGCCUGCCCCUGGCAGCAAAUCCCGAGAACGCGGCCUGCACGGCCCUGUCGGCUGACCUCUGCACACCCGCCCAGGCGCCCAGCCAGGCCUGAUUCAUGCGCCCGCAGUGCCAGGACGCUCCGGGAGGGAGGCGGGGCGGAGCAGCGCUUCGCGGCCCUGCGCCAGGCCUGGGCCUGCGCCCUGGGCGCCGCGCUCCAAUCCAGCCUCGCACGGGUGCCAGAGGGCAGCCAGGGAGGGCGAGGGGCCUGCCCGGGGUCACCCACCAGCCAGGGAACGAGUGGGCAGCACGAGGCCCAGGCCGAAACUGGGCGCCAAGCGGCCGGGUUCCAGUCCCACUGGGGCCUACAGUUCUCGGCAAACAACCUCGGGUUCCGGCUGCAGCCUCAGGACGGGGAGCCCGGGCCAAGACUGAUGGACAUGGAGUCUACCCCCACGGGCGAGGUGGGGGCUGACAGUGACUCACUAACUGGUCCGCUGCCUGGCUUCAGAGGGGAUCGGCUGGGCCUUACCACUUCCCCGCUGGCUGACCCUGAGCAGGUGACCUGACCUCCCUGGUCCUCAGUUUCCUCAGUCUAUGAAAUGGGGACAAAACUGCUCAGAAGCAAUUUUUCAAGAACAAAAAGGUCAGCACGUCCAAGACUAAUCAAUUCUCGGAGAGCUCCUGCCGCCACCGCCGGGGGAGCUGGGGACCGGUGGCCCCCGCCCUUCCCGCCGGCCCCCUCCCGCCAGCCCCAUCACUUUUAUUGCUUCGUGAUGGCUGUCAUUAGCGGGGUGUUGGAGACGCCCCACAGUGUUCUUACAACAUAAAACCCGGGCCGCUUGCAGAGGGGGGGCCGGGCGCAUUUAUGGCCACUCGCCGACUCUGGACGGUAACAGCCGAACUGAUGGAUCGCCCGCAAGGGGAGCCAGGACAGGAAGCAUCCAGCCACUUGUUCAAAGGCUCGGCAGGCAGGCCGGAGGAGCCGGGGCCCUGCCUGCCUGCUCUCGGGCCUGGCCCGCUUUCCCUCACCCCGCCCCCCUUCACUGUGACCUUGGGCACCUGCCCCCUGCCAUCCCUUCCAGGACUUUUCCCCCUGGUCCCCGCUGCAUCCCUGCUCACGGGCAGAAUAUUCCUUCCGGAGCAUCCCCUGCCCUCAGAAUGAGGCCAAGGCCCGUCCCUUCCAACACUGUGGGGUCUGCACUCCCAUUCCAGAGGGAGAAACUGAGGCCCGGUGUCACAGAAGUAGGAAGGGGCUACAUGCAGAUUGGGUCGCAUGCACGAGCAGGUGCCUGGUGGCGAACAGGUCUGCGGUUCUAGGCUUUGCUUGUCCGUGGCCCCGGCUGUCCUCGUCCCCUGUCACCCUGCCAUCAGGUGCCCACACCAACAACAGCAGCUAAAAUGCACCGAGGCUUCCGGGCAGACCCCGCCCUUCGCGCACUUGGUAGGUGAUGCCUCUGGCUCCGGGACAGCACUGUCGUUAGCCACUCUUAUGCCCACUUUUCAGAUGAGGAAGCCCACACAGGGAGACCGAGCAGCAGACCCCAGUCCACACGGCUGGGAACAGGGGCUGGGGCCCAACUCUCUGCGUUUUGCUUUUUAAAGACUGGCUGAGGAUAUGAACUAUGCGGAAAAGGCCAAAUCCACAGGUGCCGAAGACAGACUGGUGGUGGCCGGGGACCGUGGGGAGGGGGGUGGGGAGAGACUGCGUAAUGGCCAUGAGCUUUCCUUCUGAGGGCCCGAGAAUGUUCUGGAACCAGGCAGAGGGGUUGGUUGCACAACGUUGUGGAUGUGCUAAACGCCCCUGAGCGGUACAGUGUAAAACAUGGUUGAUUUCAUGUUAUGUGAACUUCACUCCAAUAAAUUAUUUUUUAAAAAAUG